GCUUAUAGCAUGUACGGGUUUACAAGAAAACGAGACACUUUCACCGCCUUCUGUGGACAAAUUUGAGUGUCAUGACAAUCGUGACAACUGGAGCAUUGUCAUCAGCGUCAUAUUUGAAGACGACGCUACAGAUGGCUUUCUUGUCAAUAUUGUUUCAGCAACUGGAGUAGGUGAACCAUCAAAUUAUUGCCGUUUAUUCGACAGGCAACAGAUCACACGAACAUUGGAAGUUCCGUCUUUAUCAGAGAAGGAAAUCUAUGUCAUUCAUGUCUAUGGCACAAGUGGAAACCGUUCUAAGAGCUACGAUGUAUUCAAGAAAAUAAUUCGUUUCAGUGACUGUCGACCACGUAAGCUAUUGCAAUAUGUA
Long non-coding RNA from Corticium candelabrum, 367 nucleotides. RefSeq lists it as uncharacterized. The record is from RefSeq and is a predicted model, not a curated record. Lineage: Eukaryota; Metazoa; Porifera; Homoscleromorpha; Homosclerophorida; Plakinidae. The transcript is spliced from 4 exons.